AGUGCAGGUCUGCAGGAAGGGCCUGCCUCCACUCAUGCAGGUACCUGGGAUCACCUGUCCAUUGGCUACACUGCCCUUUAGGGCCUCCAAAUCCCCAGCUGAAUUAUUCCCAUCCAUCUAGUAGGAAAGGAAAAAAGAAUGUUGAAGGAUCAUGCAAAAUGUUUUAGGGGCCAGUCCUGGACGUAAAAUAUGUUACAUUGGCUAGAAUGCUGUUACACAUUGCCACCUAUUUCAAGAGAUGCUGAGAUUUGGAGUCUUCUUGGGUGCCCAGAGAUUUGAGUAUCACCUAGCACUGUUUCUGCUUCAGAAAAAAUAUCCCUUGACAUUGGCUGUGAUACCUACCAACCUGAAAAAAUAUCCCUUGACAUUGGCUGUGAUACCUACCAAGCUCACAGGAAAUGGAAGUAGAACUCUGAAGCUAAAUCAGAGGACUCCAAGCAAAUGAAGUGACUGAAAGCAAGAAUGGCUCAUUGCCCUUGAGCUACACAGAAAUGUAUAGGUGGGUGUAUUGGGUCGGUUCCCUGGAAGCACAACCUCAGAUGGGGAUUCUUGUGCAAAAGAUACACGGAGGAAGAGCUCAAGGAAGUAACUUGCAAUGAAGCAAGGGGAGCAAGCUGGAGCAGGAGAAAAGAUCAGGCAAAGGCAUGCUUUCAGAAGUCUAGCCUCGGCCUCAUCCACAGGGAGCUCCAGAGAGUGAAUGGUACCAUGCAGCUGGUCAACCUUCUUGGAGGAGGGAGCUGCUGAUAGCCUUCAGUAGACAGCACUUGCACUAGCCAAGGGAUGAGUGCACCAGCCCAGUGGAGGGGAUCUGGGUAGAGCACCUAUGCCAUCUGCUAUAAUAGACUCUACGUGUCUUCUAGGAAGGACAUGCUUUUCCUUUUCGUAUCCUCUACCUGAAGCAAUAUAUCACGUACUCAGCAGACGCUCAAUAAGUGUUUGAGAAAUGAAGAAACAAAAAGACAGAGGGAAGGAGAGAAGAAAAGAAACAAGAUUACAGAAAAUUCUAAAAUACUCUUGGGCUCCAAGAAAUGCAUCUUCAAAUAAGGAACUUCACAUACUUAUGCUGAGCAAUGAGAGAGAUAUUUUGAGAAACCUGAAAAAAUAAGAGAACUUUGAGUUUUCAGUGCUCUGGAAAUGGCAAAAAGGAAUCCCGCCAUGGACGACCUGCUCCUUGCUCCAGCCUGGCCAGUGCUUUGAAGUGAUAACACCAAGAGUUGCUGUUUAGGAAGGCAAGGAAGAAACAUCAGUGUCUCGUCUAGCCUCAGAAAAAAACGACUUCCUAUUUUUACUACUGUUAUGAAUCCCUCACUCAUGGACACCUUUGUGACGUGACUUCCAAGUUGCUAUUCUAUUUUCUGGCUGGAACCUGCAAACUCCAAUCUGGAAGUAUAUCUCUUUAGGGAAAGGGAAGGAAGACCAGAACCAGUGUUUAUUAAAUACCUACUAAAUGUCAAAUUUACUAUGCAUAGCUCUACAUAUGCUAUAUAAAUUACCCAUGAAAAAAA
Molecule: long non-coding RNA, 1505 nt
Filed under: Homo sapiens (human)
Lineage: Eukaryota; Metazoa; Chordata; Mammalia; Primates; Hominidae
Description: novel transcript
Source: RNAcentral